RNAcentral lists this ribosomal RNA (428 nucleotides) under uncultured bacterium. RNAcentral's name for it is "bacterial SSU rRNA". It matches the Rfam family "Bacterial small subunit ribosomal RNA", at positions 354 to 796 of the family's 1533-position model. The record is from RNAcentral.
GUGGGGAAUAUUGCGCAAUGGGGGAAACCCUGACGCAGCGACGCCGCGUGGAGGAAGAAGGCCUUCGGGUUGUAAACUCCUUUGACUGGGGACGAAGGAAGUGACGGUACCCAGGGAACAAGCCACGGCUAACUACGUGCCAGCAGCCGCGGUAAUACGUAGGUGGCGAGCGUUGUCCGGAAUCACUGGGCGUAAAGGGCGCGUAGGCGGGUGAGCAAGUCAGGUGUAAAAACUAUCGGCUCAACCGGUAAGUAGCACUUGAAACUGUUCAUCUUGAGUACUGGAGAGGGAAGCGGAAUUCCUAGUGUAGCGGUGAAAUGCGUAGAGAUUAGGAGGAACACCAGUGGCGAAGGCGGCUUCCUGGCCAGCAACUGACGCUGAGGCGCGAAAGCGUGGGGAGCAAACAGGAUUAGAUACCCGGGUAGUCC